GACAGAGGGUGCCAACGUUGUUCGGAAUUACUGGGCGUAAAGCGCGUGUAGGCGGCUUGUGCAAGUCGGGUGUGAAAGCCCCAGGCUCAACCUGGGAAGUGCAUUCGAUACUGCGAAGCUGGAGUCCCGGAGAGGGUGGUGGAACUCUCGGUGUAGAGGUGAAAAUUCGUAGAGAUCGAGAAGAACACCGGUGGCGAAGGCGGCCACCUGGACGGAGACUGACGCUGAGACGCGAAAGCGUGGGAGCAAACAGG
This 254-nucleotide ribosomal RNA is filed under the name uncultured bacterium. RNAcentral's name for it is "partial 16S ribosomal RNA". It matches the Rfam family "Bacterial small subunit ribosomal RNA", at positions 524 to 776 of the family's 1533-position model. The record is from RNAcentral.